UCCUACGGGUGGCUGCAGUGGGGAAUAUUGGGCAAUGGGGGAAACCCUGACCCAGCAACGCCGCGUGAAGGACGAAGGCCUUCGGGUUGUAAACUUCUUUGAUCAGGGACGAAACAAAUGACGGUACCUGAAGAACAAGCCACGGCUAACUACGUGCCAGCAGCCGCGGUAAUACGUAGGUGGCAAGCGUUAUCCGGAUUUACUGGGUGUAAAGGGCGUGUAGGCGGUCUUGCAAGUCGGAAGUGAAAUUCCCGGGCUUAACCCGGGCGCUGCUCCCGAAACUGCGAGACUUGAGUACUGGAGAGGAUAGUGGAAUUCCUAGUGUAGCGGUAAAAUGCGUAGAUAUUAGGAGGAACACCAGUGGCGAAGGCGGCUAUCUGGACAGUAACUGACGCUGAGGCGCGAAAGCGUGGGGAGCAAACAGGAUUAGAUACCCGUGUAGUCU
RNAcentral lists this ribosomal RNA (445 nucleotides) under uncultured Clostridium sp. Its description in RNAcentral is "bacterial SSU rRNA". It matches the Rfam family "Bacterial small subunit ribosomal RNA", at positions 337 to 796 of the family's 1533-position model. The record is from RNAcentral. Lineage: Bacteria; Bacillati; Bacillota; Clostridia; Eubacteriales; Clostridiaceae.